GGUGACGUAGCCAAGUGGCCAGGCAACGGAUUGCAAAUCCGUCUACGCGGGUUCGAUUCCCGCCGUCACCU
Molecule: transfer RNA, 71 nt
Filed under: Planctomycetota bacterium
Lineage: Bacteria; Pseudomonadati; Planctomycetota
Description: Planctomycetes bacterium (groundwater metagenome) tRNA-Cys
Rfam family: tRNA
About the family: Transfer RNA (tRNA) molecules are approximately 80 nucleotides in length. Their secondary structure includes four short double-helical elements and three loops (D, anti-codon, and T loops).
Source: RNAcentral